GACGAACGCUGGCGGCGUGCUUAACACAUGCAAGUCGAACGGAAAGGCCCUGCUUUUUUGGGGUUCUCUUUUUGCGAUCGUGUGAGUAUCACUUGAGUCACCUGCCCUUGACUUUGUUAUAUCUUCAGGUAACUUGGGCUAAUACCUGAUAGGAUCUCCUGCUGCUUGUUGUGGUUUGGUUAGUUUCGGCGGUUGGGGAUGGACUCGCGGGUUAUCAGCUUUUUGGUGGGGUAGUGGCUUACCAAGGCUUUGACGGGUAGCCGGCAUGAGAGGGUGACCGGAGACAUGGGGACUGAGAGACGGCCAAGACUACUACGGGAGGAAGCAGUGGGGAAUAUGGCACAAUGGGCGGAAGACUGAGGCAGCAACGCCGCGUGCGGGAUGACGGCCUGCGGGUUGUAAACCGCUUUAGAAGGUGAAGAAGAGUGAGUGACGGUAAUGGGUAAAGAAGCACCGGCUAACUACGUG
RNAcentral lists this ribosomal RNA (468 nucleotides) under uncultured bacterium. RNAcentral's name for it is "partial 16S ribosomal RNA". It matches the Rfam family "Bacterial small subunit ribosomal RNA", at positions 28 to 507 of the family's 1533-position model. The record is from RNAcentral.